UGGGGAAUCUUGCGCAAUGCGCGAAAGCGUGACGCAGCAACGCCGCGUGGGGGAAGAAGGCUUUCGGGUUGUAAACCCCUUUCAGUUGGGACGAAGCCUCGUCCGUUAAUAGCGGCGCGAGGUGACGGUACCUUCACAAGAAGCCCCGGCUAACUACGUGCCAGCAGCCGCGGUAAUACGUAGGGUGCGAGCGUUAAUCGGAAUUACUGGGCGUAAAGUGUGCGCAGGUGGCCGCGCAAGUCGAGUGUGAAAUCCCCGGGCUUAACUUGGGAAUUGCGCUCGAAACUACGUGGCUCGAGUGUGGCAGAGGAAGGUGGAAUUCCACGUGUAGCGGUGAAAUGCGUUAGAGAUGUGGAGGAACACCGAUGGCGAAGGCAGCCUUCUGGCCAACACUGACGCUCAUGCACGAAAGCGUGGGGAGCAAACA
RNAcentral lists this ribosomal RNA (427 nucleotides) under uncultured bacterium. Its description in RNAcentral is "bacterial SSU rRNA". It matches the Rfam family "Bacterial small subunit ribosomal RNA", at positions 355 to 774 of the family's 1533-position model. The record is from RNAcentral.